ACCCAACUAGCUCAGUUGGUAGAGCACGAGACUCUUUAUCUCAGGAUCGUGGGUUUGAGCCUCAUGUCGCCAA
This is a non-coding RNA of Pangasius djambal, 73 nucleotides long. NCBI's taxonomy places the organism in Eukaryota, Metazoa, Chordata, Actinopteri, Siluriformes, Pangasiidae. The record is from the annotation of a GenBank genome assembly.